AGUGAACGCCGGCGGUAGGCCUAACACAUGCAAGUCGAACGGCAGCACAGUAAGAGCUUGCUCUUACGGGUGGCGAGAGGCGGACGGGUGAGGAAUACAUCGGAAUCUACUUUUUCGUGGGGGAUAACGUAGGGAAACUUACGCUAAUACCGCAUACGACCUACGGGUGAAAGCAGGGGAUCUUCGGACCUUGCGCGAUUGAAUGAGCCGAUGUCGGAUUAGCUAGUUGGCGGGGUAAAGGCCCACCAAGGCGACGAUCCGUAGCUGGUCUGAGAGGAUGAUCAGCCACACUGGAACUGAGACACGGUCCAGACUACUACGGGAGGCAGCAGUGGGGAAUAUUGGACAAUGGGCGCAAGCCUGAUCCAGCCAUACCGCGUGGGUGAAGAAGGCCUUCGGGUUGUAAAGCCCUUUUGUUGGGAAAGAAAAGCAGCAGGUUAAUACCCCGCUGUUCUGACGGUACCCAAAGAAUAAGCACCGGCUAACUUCGUG
Molecule: ribosomal RNA, 492 nt
Filed under: uncultured bacterium
Lineage: Bacteria
Description: partial 16S ribosomal RNA
Rfam family: Bacterial small subunit ribosomal RNA
Source: RNAcentral